RNAcentral lists this ribosomal RNA (464 nucleotides) under uncultured bacterium. Its description in RNAcentral is "partial 16S ribosomal RNA". It matches the Rfam family "Bacterial small subunit ribosomal RNA", at positions 339 to 795 of the family's 1533-position model. The record is from RNAcentral.
CUACGGGAUGCACCAGUGGGGAAUAUUGCACAAUGGGCGCAAGCCUGAUGCAGCCAUGCCGCGUGUAUGAAGAAGGCCUUCGGGUUGUAAAGUACUUUCAGCGGGGAGGAAGGGAGUAAAGUUAAUACCUUUGCUCAUUGACGUUACCCGCAGAAGAAGCACCGGCUAACUCCGUGCCAGCAGCCGCGGUAAUACGGAGGGUGCAAGCGUUAAUCGGAAUUACUGGGCGUAAAGCGCACGCAGGCGGUUUGGUAAGUCAGAUGUGAAAUCCCCGGGCUCAACCUGGGAACUGCAUCUGAUACUGGCAAGCUUGAGUCUCGUAGAGGGGGGUAGAAUUCCAGGUGUAGCGGUGAAAUGCGUAGAGAUCUGGAGGAAUACCGGUGGCGAAGGCGGCCCCCUGGACGAAGACUGACGCUCAGGUGCGAAAGCGUGGGGAGCAAACAGGAUUAGAUACCCCCGUAGUC